GGGUCUUUUUCACUUUAUCCCCAAUCAUUUUUUUUAUAACUCGCCUCCCAACCUUUCAAAUAUGUUGUGCCAAAUUACUUUAAUUUUCAGGCAAAUUAUUGGGAUUUUCGGCUGGAUGAAAAACGGAGGAAACAAGGAAAAUGGAGGAGAAUUGCUACUGCGAAGGUGAGCUGUGAAGAAAACAUCUUGGACAGAUCUCAACUCAGGCCGAAGAUAUGCCAUAUGUGAUAUAUUUAGGGGUAGGGGGGUUGCAACAUCUUCUCUUGGCUUGAUCCUCCAAUGUGUGAGCGGUCGCGACAAAUCAUCCUAGGAUUGAUUCGAAGGAUAAACAUGCUCGAAGACGAACAAAAAACAAAAGAAAAAAAAAGGAGAAAGUGAUGUGGGGAUUUGUGUAUUUGCUGUUUUUCAGUGUACAGUAUGAUGUGAAAAACAAGGAAGAAGAGUAGACGAGCAUGUUUUUAGUUUACUCUAUGUUGGCUAAUGUUAGUUUUGGAAAAAGUUGUAUUAUGGCCAAUUUAGUUGUAAAUGUAAGUAUUGUUUAUGAAUGAAAAUGUAAGUUUGUCC
Molecule: long non-coding RNA, 564 nt
Organism: Sesamum indicum (sesame)
Lineage: Eukaryota; Viridiplantae; Streptophyta; Magnoliopsida; Lamiales; Pedaliaceae
Source: RefSeq, a predicted model, not a curated record